This 484-nucleotide ribosomal RNA is filed under the name uncultured bacterium. RNAcentral describes it as "bacterial SSU rRNA". It matches the Rfam family "Bacterial small subunit ribosomal RNA", at positions 28 to 511 of the family's 1533-position model. The record is from RNAcentral.
GACGAACGCUGGCGGCGUGCUUAACACAUGCAAGUCGAACGGUGACGAGGAGCUUGCUCCUCCGAUCAGUGGCGAACGGGUGAGUAACACGUGAGUAACCUGCCCCAGACUCUGGGAUAACAGUUGGAAACAGCUGCUAAUACCGGAUACGAGACGGAGAGGCAUCUCUACCGUCUGGAAAGUUUUUCGGUCUGGGAUGGACUCGCGGCCUAUCAGCUUGUUGGUGAGGUAAUGGCUCACCAAGGCGACGAUGUCUAGCUGGUCUGAGAGGAUGAUCAGCCACACUGGGACUGAGACACGGCCCAGACUCCUACGGGAGGCAGCAGUAGGGAAUAUUGGACAAUGGGGGGAACCCUGAUCCAGCCAUGCCGCGUGAGGGAAGAAGGUCCUCUGGAUUGUAAACCUCUUUUGGCAGGAAACAAACCUGCGCUAUACGCGCAGCUGAGGGUACCUGCAGAAUAAGCACCGGCUAACUCCGUGCCAG